AAUGAACGCUGGCGGCGCGCCUAAUACAUGCAAGUCGAGCGAGAAGACGUAGCAAUACGUUUGUAAAGCGGCGAACGGGUGAGGAAUACAUGGGUAACCUACCCUCGAGUGGGAAUAACUAGCCGAAAGGUUAGCUAAUACCGCGUACGCUUCUUGGACUUCGGUUCAGGGAGGAAAGCGAUACCGUGGGUAUCGCGCUCUUGGAUGGGCUCAUGUCCUAUCAGCUUGUUGGGAGGUAACGGCUCACCAAGGCUUCGACGGGUAGCUGGUCUGAGAGGACGAUCAGCCAUACUGGCACUGCGACGACGGGCCAGACUCCUACGGGAGGCAGCAGUAAGGAAUAUUGCGCAAGUGGGACGAAA
Molecule: ribosomal RNA, 362 nt
Filed under: uncultured bacterium
Lineage: Bacteria
Description: bacterial SSU rRNA
Rfam family: Bacterial small subunit ribosomal RNA
Source: RNAcentral